ACUCCGUUGGUGAACCAGCGGAGGGAUCAUUACCGAGUUUACAACUCCCAAACCCCUGUGAACAUACCAUUUGUUGCCUCGGCGGUGCCUGCUUCGGCAGCCCGCCAGAGGACCCAAACCCUUGAUUUUACACAGUAUCUUCUGAGUAAAUGAUUAAAUAAAUCAAAACUUUCAACAACGGAUCUCUUGGUUCUG
This 195-nucleotide unclassified non-coding RNA is filed under the name plant metagenome. Its description in RNAcentral is "partial contains small subunit ribosomal RNA, internal transcribed spacer 1, and 5.8S ribosomal RNA". The record is from RNAcentral.